CUUCUGGGCUACUAUUAUAUUAACUGCGCAGGACAAUCAGAUAACAUCUUCUCUGAAUUUUAGAUUAUCAUCCAUGAAAUGGAGUUAAUAAUAUCUACUUCAAAGAGUUGCUGUGAAGAGUAAGCAGUGAACAUAAGCACCUUCCCUAGUACAUAGUGUGUCUCAGAGAAGUAUGAUGACAGCAAUGUAAGGAGGACAGAGUGCUGGUCCCAGCAGCAACUAGCUGUGUGACCUUAUGCAAGUCAUGUAAUCUCUAAGCUUCAGUUUAAUCCUGUAUAAGAUGAGGAAAUAGUAGCACCUACCUCAUAGGGCUGUUGUGAAAAUUAAGUGUGAUAAUCCAUUUGAAGCCCUUGGAACAAUGCUGGGUGUUUAUUAAGUGCUCAAUGAACUAUUGGCUAUAUAAGCUGUUCAACAAAGAUGACCAUAUCUGUGAUUACUCUUCAAUCCCUUAGAGCUAGUCUGGAACUAGCUAGGUUCCAGUAUCUAGUUUGUUGAGACAAACUGAGCAUUUUGGAUGUCCAUGUGAAAUCAGAAUUUCUCUGUUUUACUCAUCAGCAGUUUCUAGAGGCCAAAUAAAACUUGGCUACAGCAAAGGAAAUUAUUUUAGGAAAGAAAGAUUAGAUCCAAGUUGGAAUUCCCUUUCCUAGUUCUUCUUCAAUAGUAUUUCCACAAAACCCAAUCUUUGUUUGGCUUGAGGUGAAAGGCCUGUUUUCAAUGAGUGGAUUUUACCAAAAGAAAAAUGAAUAGAGAAGUGAAACAGAACAUAACUCUACCACUAAGUAGUGGAAAGUGAGUAACUCCUCAAAAUAUAUUUUUUAGCUUAAUUCUACUUUAACUAAAGAACUCUAUGUAGUGGCCCCCAUCUCUAAACCUUCCUUCUUACCACCCAUGGAGGCAGCUUCCAAGAUGGCCUCUGGUACUUCAUGUUACAGUCAUCCCCUCUUAUUCUUGAAGGACUAUGUUUACACAUCCCCAGUGUAUACCUGAAACCAUACAUAGUACCAAAUUCUACAUAUGCUAUGCUUUUUCCUAUACCUAUCUAUAAGUUAGUGAGAAAUAAAUCAAUAAUCAUCAAUAAUAACAGCAUUUAUAGCAAUACAGCACCAUAAAAGUUACUGAAAGUGUGGCUUUGGAGGCACUACAGUGUUUUUGCUCAUAUAAUUCCCUUCUCCUGUUGAGUAUGGACCAGACUUAGUGACUCACUUCUGACACACAAGACAAGGUGGAAAUGACAGUGCUUGACUCAGAGACUAAGUCAUAAAAGGCAGUGUGACACCUCCUCUGGCUUACAGAGCUUGCAUUGGCAGAAAUUAUCCGCCAGGUUGUGAGCAGCCCCAUGGAGAGACCCAUGUGAUGAGAAACCAAAGCCUCUUCCUAAUAGCCAUAAAGGAGGUAAAGAGUGAACAAGAGGAAAUGAAGAGAAAGAGCAUUCAAGGUAGAGGAAUCCACAGGAACAAAGGCACCAUUGGGAAAAAGGUGAAUUUCCAUGAGUGGGAAGACUAGGUCAUAUGUGGAAAGAAAGAAAGAAAAGUAAAAGCACUCUACAGAGUCCAUGAAAACAGAAGAACAAAUCAAAUCCUAAAGGAUCUAUUCAAUAACAUCUUGGCUUGAUACAAGGUCUUGACUUGGCAUAAGAACAUACCUGUACUAGCCUUCUGGGUGACGAGCGACACACAGAGCAGACUUAAGAUGCCCCAGUCAUCCCAACUGAAGCCACUCUAGAUCCUGAGAUGUUUUAAGACAGCCUCCUGCUUACAAUGCUGAGGAAACAGAGUGGGAAAGAAACGAGCACCUUCCCAGUUGCUUAUGCUCUAUAGUCAUUGAAGCAGAGCCCAGGACCAACAUGGCAAGCAUCUGAACUCUUGGUCUUUCCUAGCUUUGGAAGUUUGUGCAGGGAAGAAAGAAACACCCAUUUGGAGACAGUUCUAGAUCCUGUGCUUUGAAAGCCUAAAUCCAAGGAGAUUUAGCUACAGAGUACAUUUGAGGGUACUUAUAAAUAAGAGGGAGAGAUUUCAUCUAGAAUAAAAAAAAUCUCAGAAAAGGAAGAGGCAAUAUAGCACAGGUAGGAUCUGGAGCUCCCAGUAGUUCCUAAUUGGACCAGAAAAAACUAUGGACUUUGGGUAAUGGAUACCUCAAAGGCAGCCAGGAUGCAGAGAUAAGUAAUGGCUAGCAUGGUCUCCUUGAGGAUAUGCUACUGGAUAACCUAAGGUAUUGGCACCAUCUUGGAUACCAUCUUAAUAAUAUCUUACAUUUUCCUUAUGGGAUAAAUAGAUGGGAGCUUAGACUUAGUCUUCAGUUGAUUACAGGGAA
Oryctolagus cuniculus (rabbit) is the source of this 2310-nucleotide non-coding RNA. Lineage: Eukaryota; Metazoa; Chordata; Mammalia; Lagomorpha; Leporidae. The record is from RefSeq and is a predicted model, not a curated record.